RNAcentral lists this transfer RNA (62 nucleotides) under Ornithodoros turicata. RNAcentral's name for it is "tRNA-Arg". The record is from RNAcentral. RNAcentral also lists the same sequence under 1 other name. Lineage: Eukaryota; Metazoa; Arthropoda; Arachnida; Ixodida; Argasidae.
UAAGAGUGAAGCAACAAUUGCAAUCAGUUUCGACCUGAAUCUAGGAUAUUACCCUCUCUUAU